This 642-nucleotide ribosomal RNA is filed under the name uncultured Bacilli bacterium. Its description in RNAcentral is "bacterial SSU rRNA". It matches the Rfam family "Bacterial small subunit ribosomal RNA", at positions 100 to 730 of the family's 1533-position model. Lineage: Bacteria; Bacillati; Bacillota; Bacilli. The record is from RNAcentral.
GAACGGGUGAGUAACGCGUAGGUAACCUGCCUGGUAGCGGGGGAUAACUAUUGGAAACGAUAGCUAAUACCGCAUAACAGUAGAUGUUGCAUGACAUUUGCUUAAAAGGUGCAAUUGCAUCACUACCAGAUGGACCUGCGUUGUAUUAGCUAGUUGGUGGGGUAACGGCUCACCAAGGCGACGAUACAUAGCCGACCUGAGAGGGUGAUCGGCCACACUGGGACUGAGACACGGCCCAGACUCCUACGGGAGGCAGCAGUAGGGAAUCUUCGGCAAUGGACGGAAGUCUGACCGAGCAACGCCGCGUGAGUGAAGAAGGUUUUCGGAUCGUAAAGCUCUGUUGUAAGAGAAGAACGAGUGUGAGAGUGGAAAGUUCACACUGUGACGGUAUCUUACCAGAAAGGGACGGCUAACUACGUGCCAGCAGCCGCGGUAAUACGUAGGUCCCGAGCGUUGUCCGGAUUUAUUGGGCGUAAAGCGAGCGCAGGCGGUUAGAUAAGUCUGAAGUUAAAGGCUGUGGCUUAACCAUAGUACGCUUUGGAAACUGUUUAACUUGAGUGCAAGAGGGGAGAGUGGAAUUCCAUGUGUAGCGGUGAAAUGCGUAGAUAUAUGGAGGAACACCGGUGGCGAAAGCGGCUCUCU